AGUGGGGGAUAACGUAGCGAAAGUUACGCUAAUACCGCAUAUGCCCUGAGGGGGAAGGGGGGGAUCGCAAGACCUCUCGCUUUCGGAGUGGCCGAUAUCGGAUUAGCUAGUAGGUGAGGUAAAGGCUCACCUAGGCGACGAUCCGUAGCUGGUCUGAGAGGACGACCAGCCACACUGGGACUGAGACACGGCCCAGACUCCUACGGGAGGCAGCAGUGGGGAAUUUUGGACAAUGGGCGCAAGCCUGAUCCAGCCAUGCCGCGUGAGUGAAGAAGGCCUUCGGGUUGUAAAGCUCUUUCAGCUGGAAAGAAAACGUAUCUAUUAAUACUGGGUGCGGAUGACGGUACCAGCAGAAGAAGCACCGGCUAACUACGUGCCAGCAGCCGCGGUAAUACGUAGGGUGCGAGCGUUAAUCGGAAUUACUGGGCGUAAAGCGUGCGCAGGCGGCUUUUUAAGCCAGAUGUGAAAUCCCCGGGCUUAACCUGGGAACUGCAUUUGGAACUGGAAGGCUAGAGUGUAGAAGAGGGGGGUAGAAUUCCA
RNAcentral lists this ribosomal RNA (540 nucleotides) under uncultured Gallionellaceae bacterium. RNAcentral's name for it is "bacterial SSU rRNA". It matches the Rfam family "Bacterial small subunit ribosomal RNA", at positions 135 to 671 of the family's 1533-position model. Lineage: Bacteria; Pseudomonadati; Pseudomonadota; Betaproteobacteria; Nitrosomonadales; Gallionellaceae. The record is from RNAcentral.